UUGAACGCUGGCGGCAGGCCUAACACAUGCAAGUCGAGCGGAUGAAGGGAGCUUGCUCCUGGAUUCAGCGGCGGUCGGGUGAGUAAUGCCUAGGAAUCUGCCUGGUAGUGGGGGAUAACGUCCGGAAACGGGCGCUAAUACCGCAUACGUCCUGAGGGAGAAAGUGGGGGGUCUUCGGACCUCACGCUAUCAGAUGAGCCUAGGUCGGAUUAGCUAGUUGGUGGGGUAAAGGCCUACCAAGGCGACGAUCCGUAACUGGUCUGAGAGGAUGAUCAGUCACACUGGAACUGAGACACGGUCCAGACUCCUACGGGAGGCAGCAGUGGGGAAUAUUGGACAAUGGGCGAAAGCCUGAUCCAGCCAUGCCGCGUGUGUGAAGAAGGUCUUCGGAUUGUAAAGCACUUUAAGUUGGGAGGAAGGGCAGUAAGUUAAUACCUUGCUGUUUUGACGUUACCAACAGAAUAAGCACCGGCUAACUUCGUG
This 483-nucleotide ribosomal RNA is filed under the name uncultured bacterium. RNAcentral's name for it is "partial 16S ribosomal RNA". It matches the Rfam family "Bacterial small subunit ribosomal RNA", at positions 30 to 507 of the family's 1533-position model. The record is from RNAcentral.